CUCUGCCCUCCGAGGUCGCCCGCAGCUGCCGCCCGCUCUGGGCUUGGGGACCUCGGCCCUGCGCCUUUCCGCACUCCUGGCAGGUGCAGCCCCAGGAGGCAAUGGGGCAGGCAAACUGGAUGGUGCCCCAGGUGUAGCAAGCUUGGAAGGCUUCAAAGGACGGGACAAGUUUGGCCUGGACAAGUUUCCUCCUAGAAGUCACUUAAUCUGCAAAAUCAAGAUAAGACCAUUUUCCCCAUGUGACUUGACAAGACAAUAUUAAAGCUCAAGGUGAUGCAUGUAAAAAGAUUGUGGAAGCCAUAAAGCUUUAUAGAGAUACAUAAUCACUGUCUCUUCCUCAUCUCCUGCCCCAUUCUGCUACCCUUGCUUUAAUAAAAAUUGUUUCCCCGAA
Molecule: long non-coding RNA, 391 nt
Filed under: Homo sapiens (human)
Lineage: Eukaryota; Metazoa; Chordata; Mammalia; Primates; Hominidae
Description: CCDC88C divergent transcript, transcript variant 2 (CCDC88C-DT)
Source: RNAcentral